UAAAAUCUUGUUCGUAAGGUAAAGAAAUAGUGUGUACUUUUCUUUUCCAGAACGCAUUGGGCUGUUCUGAACAAAGGUCCUUUUUAAAUUUUUCUAAAACAUUAUCAAUUCUUUCUUUGAUAAUUGGUGAUCCUAUCUGUUCUUCUAUUCUCUUAAAUCGUAUUUCUUUAUUAAUAAAAUUAAUUUGCCUUUUCUUUUUACUUAUUAAGUUAAUUCGAGAUAUGGCUCUUUCUUGAACAGAGUUUAAAUCUCUAACUUUUGGUUUAUCUAAGAACUCAAAAUUAAUUUCCCUACCUAAGACUGUAGUGGUUAUUCCAUUUUCAUCUACUUUAAGGGGGUAAAGUAAGGUUAAAAAGGGUGUUCCUAGAAUAAUUUCUUCU
Molecule: long non-coding RNA, 380 nt
Filed under: Trifolium pratense (red clover)
Lineage: Eukaryota; Viridiplantae; Streptophyta; Magnoliopsida; Fabales; Fabaceae
Description: long non-coding RNA (TPRA_LNC008124)
Source: RNAcentral